CUCCUCAACCUGCGCUUGGGCGGCGGCGACGGUGUGUCCCUGUCAGGUGAGAUCUGUAGCGCCACAGGCGGCGGUGGAGGUGAAGUGCCUCCCCCUCCAGUGGAGCAACUCACAUCACUCAAGACGCUGAUCAUAAAGGCAUGCAAGAAUAUGCGGUCGCUUCCAACACUGCCCAAGUCUCUUGAGGAGAUUGCAGUCUGUUACUGCAGUGACGAGUUCAUACAAUCUUGUGUAAGGACUGAUGAUCCAAACUAGCAGAAGAUUGAGCACAUUCCAAAGAAAACAAUUAAAUUCUAUAGUGAAAAAGGUCCAUACGAAAGUUGGUAACUGUCAGCCGCGUGCCCUUUGGCUGAGGACAGGAGAUGAAGCCAUCAGACUCUUGCUAAAUCUGCAUGCUCUCUAAAUGCGUAGCCUCUUCGUUGGAUUUUAUCUACUUUAAUUUGGUUUGUUGAAUCUUGCAUGUUUCUGCGUGAAGUGGUGCUGCGCUCAUACUCUCAUAAACUACGGCCGGGCACUGCAAAAUGCCACGUCUCCAUGCAGUCACAAACAGUGGAUUUUUGAGUUGUUUACGAUAUAUGGAUUUAUGAGUUGUUUACUGUCUAUGGAUGUAAUAACGUGAAACGAUGGAACACCAGAUAUGAUUUGCUUCAUAUGUAUGAUUUGUAACAUUGGCGUGUC
Long non-coding RNA from Triticum dicoccoides, 678 nucleotides. RefSeq lists it as uncharacterized. The record is from RefSeq and is a predicted model, not a curated record. NCBI's taxonomy places the organism in Eukaryota, Viridiplantae, Streptophyta, Magnoliopsida, Poales, Poaceae. The transcript has 3 exons.